CCGCCGUGAUCUGGUUCUUGGGUCGACGGAAAUGGAGGAUGGCGGUGGUGAGGAGGGAGGAGGUCAGGAGGCUGGCGUGGCUGGCAGCCAAGGAGGCGGCCAGGGCCGAGGCCGACACCCUUGCUUACAUGGUGCCUCCAUUCGCGCCAUCUCCUGCGGUUGAUGAUGACGGAGCUGAUGCCGGCAGAGAAAUUAGGGUUGGGGAUUGGGCGAUGCCACCGCCUCCAGCUCAGGUUCUGCUGCCACAGUGUGUUGUGUGCUAUCGGCACGCAACGACGAGGUGCUCGAGAUGCAAGGCUGUCAGAUACUGUUAAAAGCUUCAUGAGCUAGUUCAAAGCCUUCAGCAGCAAUUGCUGCAAUGCCGAGAAAUUAACAACACGAAAACAAGUGAGACCAACAAAGCAAAUCGUGAAGGUCUAGAAUAUAUGCACACUACGGGGACAAUAAGUUUUGCGAGGAUUCGCCAAAAAAUGGAAAAUGAGUUGGGAAGACCUCCAAGUGAAGCUGAAAUGUUUAUUGAGACCCGUAAAAAGAAGAUAAAUCCACAAGGAGAGAAAACAAUCAAUUUGAUAGGUGCUUUAGAAGAACUCAAAUCUCAAGAUGAAGUUGAUGAUGCAUGGGAUUUAGUCAAGAAAGAUGAACAUCCUGGACGUGUACGUCUUAUGGGGAGGGGUGUCACUAAAACCAUGCUCCAGAAUAAAAAUAAAAAGAUCAUGGAUUCCUCUGAGCAAGUUCCAGAAUCUGUUAAGUGAUGAACUUUUUUGCGAUUUAAUAACGGAGGAAUAUAGAUAU
This is an RNA transcript of Asparagus officinalis (garden asparagus), 792 nucleotides long. RefSeq lists it as uncharacterized. The transcript is spliced from 5 exons. Lineage: Eukaryota; Viridiplantae; Streptophyta; Magnoliopsida; Asparagales; Asparagaceae. The record is from RefSeq and is a predicted model, not a curated record.